GAGAGAUAGAAGAGAAGAGAAGAACCCGCUGAUCGAGAGGGGUGGGGGAGAUAGAAAGAGAGAGAGAGUGACAAAGAGAAAGAGAGAAAGUAUGGAGGGGUGGUAAAAGAGCGGCGUUCACGAAUAGAGGGGAGCUUGCGACUCGUAACCCGGCAGGAAGGCGACCCGCUCUCUCCGGUGGCUUGAUAGAGAGAGGAAGAGAGGGAGAGAGGAGAGAGAUAGAGAGAGAGAGAGAGAAAGAAUUCAUCGAUGUGUUGUAUGUUGGGUACGUACGAUGUGGGCUUCUCGUUGUGUACGUGCUACCCAACGAACUGAAAGAGAGAGAAGGGAGACUGGGGUAGUAUAAAUAGGGGAGGGGAGGGUUCAGGAAGGGUCAGGGGGGUUGUAUGGAAGCAGGGGAGAAAAUCAUGAUAUCCAUGAGUCCAGAAUGAAGAGGAAAAAAAAGAAAGGAAGCGAUGGAAGCCAAAGUUCUUCUUUUGGAUAGGAAGAACAGCACGGUAAGCAGAGUAUAUCAGAGCAUAGUACAGCAAGCAAGCAAGCAAGUAAGUAAGCAAGCAAGCAAGGAAGGAAGGCAGACGAGGCGAGCAGGCAUGCCGGUCGAAGGUGCGCGCGAACGCACGGCUGACGGGAGAGACGAGAGGAGAGAGUGAAAGAGAAGGGGCAGAGGGGGAGAGCAAGAAAAGAGCCAGAGAGAAAGAGAGAGAGAGAGAGACCGUAUUCGAGGACGGUAGGAUAAAACGAACGUUAGUUGAAAAGAGAAAGAGGAGUUGAGUGAGCGUUGGUGUGGGACAAAGAGGGGAGCCUAGCAAAGGGAUGAAGGAAGGGACUCGGAGAGGGGAAAGGGCAUAGCCCAGUGGAGGAGCGCUCGGCUGGCGUUCGUUGGAGAGUUAGGUUCAGUUUGGCACGAGUUCUCGUGGUGGUCGGGUCGUUUGUGUAACGUUUGCUUCUCUCCUGCCGCUGCGUGAGUUCUCACCACUGUCUCUCUUUCACUCUUUCUUUCCCUACCAUAUCCUACCCCAACCCCCCUCGCAACUAACCCAUCCCCUAUUGCUAGUAUUACCACCACCACUGUCUCAUCACCACCACCACUACUGCUACCACCACCACCACCACCACCACCAUCACCACUACCCUACAAUCUCUGGCACCCGCCGAGCAAGUCUCGAUGCCUUCUUCCUCGUCCUCGUCGUCAUCGUCGUCAUCGUCGUUGUCGUCGUCGUCGUCGUCAUCAUCGUUGUUGCCGUUAUCAUCGUCGUUGUCGUCGUCGUUGUCCUCAUCGUUAUUCCUAUCGCUGUUGUCCAUAACAGUAGUAGUAGUAGUAGUAGUUGCAAUUGUAUUAGUGGACCGCCGUUUGCCGUUAGUUGUUAAAACUGCCGCGCGGUAGUACUUGGCGCUCUCGUACGGCUCUACUUUUCGUCACCGUCUCUCUCCGCGCUUGUCGUAAACCGAGAAUAUUCGACUCUCGUUUCUCGUAUCAGAAAUGGACGAGUAGACUGGAUUAUUAUUGGAACAGUGCAUAACCAAAGGAAUAAUUAUGAACCUUCUGUACAUCUAAAAGUUUUAUCCUUGACGAACGGUCAACAAAAGGCCUUAGGAAUAAAAAAAAAAAAAAAAAA
Polistes dominula (European paper wasp) is the source of this 1616-nucleotide long non-coding RNA. The record is from RefSeq and is a predicted model, not a curated record. Lineage: Eukaryota; Metazoa; Arthropoda; Insecta; Hymenoptera; Vespidae.